UUUUUUUAUUUUUUAUUUUUUUAAGAUUUUAUUUAUUUUUCAUGAGAGGCAGAGACACAGGCAGAGGGAGAAGCAGGCUCCCCACAAGGAGCCCGACGUGGGACUCGAUCCUGGACCCUGGGCUCAGGCCCUGGGCCAAAGGCAGAUGCUCAACCGCUGAGCCACCCAGGCAUCCCUAAUUCUUUAUACAUUAAUGGUUUUGGUUCAUUAAUAUUUUUGAGGCAUUUUGUGUCUAUAUUCAUAAGGGAUAUUGGUCUAUAAUUUUCGUUUUCUUUUCCUGUUGUAUUGUCUUUGGUUUUAAUGUCAGGGUAAUGCUGGCCUUUAGAAUCAAUUGGGAAGUGUUUCUUUAUCUUAAGUUUCCUGGAACAGAUUAUAUAAAAUUGCUGUUAAUUCUUCUUUGGAAGAAUGUUUGGUAAAAUCUUCCAGUGAAUCCAUAUAGGCUUUUCUUUGGGGGAAGUUUUAAAUUAAAAAUUCAAUUUCUUUAGUGGUUAUAGGACUAUUCAUGUAAUAUGUUUCCUCUUGGUUGGGUUCUUGUAGUUUGUGAAUUUUGAUGAAUUUGUCCAAUUUUUUAUCUCUAGUUAUUAAAAUUUAUCAGCUGUGGGACCUUGAGCAAAUAAACUCAAAGCAAACAGGAAAGUAAACAAUAAAAGGCAGAAAUCAAUAAAAUCGAAUAUAGGAAAACAAUAGAGAGUAUCAGUGAAACAAAAAGUUCUCUGAAAAAAUCAGUAAUAUUUGUAAACCUCUAAUAAGACUGCAUAAAAAGAAGAUUCAAACCACCAAUAUCUGGUAUGAAAUAGGAGAUAACAUUACAGAUCCUGCAGCCAUUAACAAGAAAAUAAGAGAAUACUAUGAACAACUUUAUAGUCAUAACUUUAAUAAGGAAAAUCUGUUGUAUUUACUCAUAUUUCUACUGUUUUAAUUGUACUUUCUUCUUUUCUGAUGCUCCAAGAUUCCUUAUUUUGUCAUUUCUUUACUGUUUGUAGAACUUCCUUUAGCCAUUCUUUUAGGGCAACAAAUUCUCUUAGUUUUCCACCAUCUGAGAAUGUCUUGAUUUCCUCUGUUCCUCAAGGAUAUUUUUGCUGAAUAUAUAAUUCUGAGAUAACAAUUCUUUUCUUUCAGUACUUGAAAAAAAUUGUGACUUCUUCCUUCUCCCCUCCAUGGUUUCUGAGGAGAAAUCAAUUAUCAUUCUAAUUGUUUUUUUUUUCUAUAAUUAAGGUGUCAUUUCUCUUUCACUGCUUUAAGGAUCUUUUUUGUCAUUAUUUCUUUGAAUACUUUCUCAGCCACACCUUCUUUCUUUUCUUCUUCUGGUACUCUGAUGACAUGAAUAUUAAGUUUUUUUCUGUGGUAAUCCCACAGUUCCCUAGGGGUGUGUUAAUUUUUUUCAGUUUAUUUCCUUUCUCUUGUUUAUUUUUUUUUUAGUAGGCUCCAUAAAUAGGGAGCUUGAACUCACAACCCUGAGAUCAAGAGUUGCAUGCUCUUUAAGUUGGCAAGCAAAAAUAAAUAAAUAAUUAAAUAAAUGUUCCCACUGUGGCUGACUUCAAAAAAAAAAAAAAAAA
This 1556-nucleotide long non-coding RNA is filed under the name Canis lupus familiaris (dog). Its description in RNAcentral is "lncRNA (ENSCAFG00000053576.1, ENSCAFG00805016951.1, ENSCAFG00845030008.1)". The record is from RNAcentral. Lineage: Eukaryota; Metazoa; Chordata; Mammalia; Carnivora; Canidae.